GACGUAGGUGGCGAACGUUAUCCGGAAUUAUUGGGCGUAGAGGGUGCGUAGAUGGUGUAAUAAGUUAUCAGCGGUAAAUCGGGGCUCAACCUCGUGGAAGUCGGUAAUACUGUUAUACUUGAGUGCAGGAGAGGUUAACGGAACUCCAUGUGGAGCGGUAAAAUGCGUAGAUAUAUGGAAGAACACCAAUAACGGCGAAGGCAGUUAACUAUUCUGUUACUGACAUUGAGGCACGAAAGCGUGGGGAGCAAACAGG
RNAcentral lists this ribosomal RNA (256 nucleotides) under uncultured bacterium. Its description in RNAcentral is "partial 16S ribosomal RNA". It matches the Rfam family "Bacterial small subunit ribosomal RNA", at positions 524 to 776 of the family's 1533-position model. The record is from RNAcentral.